UACAGAGGGGCAAGCGUUAUUCGGAAUUAUUGGGCGUAAAGGGCGCGUAGGCGGUCCUUCAAGUCUCUCGUGAAAUCCCUCGGCUUAACUGAGGACGUGCGGGAGAUACUGCUGGGCUUGAGUCCGGAAGAGGGUGGUGGAAUUCCCAGUGUAGCGGUGAAAUGCGUAGAUAUUGGGAGGAACACCGGUGGCGAAGGCGGCCACCUGGGCCGGAACUGACGCUGAGGCGCGAAAGCGUGGGGAGCAAACGGG
RNAcentral lists this ribosomal RNA (252 nucleotides) under uncultured bacterium. RNAcentral's name for it is "partial 16S ribosomal RNA". It matches the Rfam family "Bacterial small subunit ribosomal RNA", at positions 524 to 776 of the family's 1533-position model. The record is from RNAcentral.